AUCCAGCUGACGAGUCCCAAAUAGAACGAAACACGUGUCGUGGAU
Molecule: non-coding RNA, 45 nt
Organism: Schistosoma haematobium
Lineage: Eukaryota; Metazoa; Platyhelminthes; Trematoda; Strigeidida; Schistosomatidae
Source: Rfam